RNAcentral lists this ribosomal RNA (375 nucleotides) under Rhinophora lepida. RNAcentral's name for it is "partial 16S ribosomal RNA". Lineage: Eukaryota; Metazoa; Arthropoda; Insecta; Diptera; Rhinophoridae. The record is from RNAcentral.
CGUCGAAGGUAGCAUAAUCAGUAGUCUUUUAAUUGAAGGCUGGUAUGAAUGGUUGGACGAAAUAUUAACUGUUUCAUAAAAAUUUAUAAUAAAAUUUUAUUUUUUAGUUAAAAAGCUAAAAUUAAUUUAAAAGACGAGAAGACCCUAUAAAUCUUUAUAUAUAAACAUAUUAUAAUUUUAUAGAUUUAUUUUUAUUAUAAUAGUUAAUUAUAUUUUAUUGGGGUGAUAUUAAAAUUUAAUAAACUUUUAAUUUGUUUAUAUCAUUAAUUUAUGAAUUAUUGAUCCAUUAUUAUUGAUUAAAAGAAUAAGUUACUUUAGGGAUAACAGCGUAAUUUUUUUGGAGAGUUCUUAUCAAUAAAAAAGAUUGCGACCUCG